AGAAUUAGCUCAGUUGGCUAGAGCGUCCCGACAUCAGUCGGGAAGGUCGUCGGUUCGACUCCGAUAUUCUCCA
RNAcentral lists this transfer RNA (73 nucleotides) under Chitinophaga tropicalis. RNAcentral describes it as "Chitinophaga sp. ysch24 tRNA-Asp". It matches the Rfam family "tRNA". Rfam says of the family: Transfer RNA (tRNA) molecules are approximately 80 nucleotides in length. Their secondary structure includes four short double-helical elements and three loops (D, anti-codon, and T loops). Further hydrogen bonds mediate the characteristic L-shaped molecular structure. tRNAs have two regions of fundamental functional importance: the anti-codon, which is responsible for specific mRNA codon recognition, and the 3' end, to which the tRNAs corresponding amino acid is attached (by aminoacyl-tRNA synthetases). tRNAs cope with the degeneracy of the genetic code in two manners: having more than one tRNA (with a specific anti-codon) for a particular amino acid; and 'wobble' base-pairing, i.e. permitting non-standard base-pairing at the 3rd anti-codon position. Lineage: Bacteria; Pseudomonadati; Bacteroidota; Chitinophagia; Chitinophagales; Chitinophagaceae. The record is from RNAcentral.